This 468-nucleotide ribosomal RNA is filed under the name uncultured bacterium. Its description in RNAcentral is "partial 16S ribosomal RNA". It matches the Rfam family "Bacterial small subunit ribosomal RNA", at positions 28 to 507 of the family's 1533-position model. The record is from RNAcentral.
GACGAACGCUGGCGGCGUGCUUAACACAUGCAAGUCGAACGGAAAGGCCCUGCUUUUGUGGGGUGCUCGAGUGGCGAACGGGUGAGUAACACGUGAGUAACCUGCCCUUGACUUUGGGAUAACUUCAGGAAACUGGGGCUAAUACCGGAUAGGAGCUCCUGCUGCAUGGUGGGGGUUGGAAAGUUUCGGCGGUUGGGGAUGGACUCGCGGCUUAUCAGCUUGUUGGUGGGGUAGUGGCUUACCAAGGCUUUGACGGGUAGCCGGCCUGAGAGGGUGACCGGCCACAUUGGGACUGAGAUACGGCCCAGACUCCUACGGGAGGCAGCAGUGGGGAAUAUUGCACAAUGGGCGGAAGCCUGAUGCAGCAACGCCGUGUGCGGGAUGACGGCCUUCGGGUUGUAAACCGCUUUCGCCUGUGACGAAGCGUGGGUGACGGUAAUGGGUAAAGAAGCACCGGCUAACUACGUG